This 77-nucleotide transfer RNA is filed under the name Pseudomonas sp. WCS374. Its description in RNAcentral is "tRNA-Asp (GTC) (tRNA-Asp-GTC-2-1)". It matches the Rfam family "tRNA". Rfam says of the family: Transfer RNA (tRNA) molecules are approximately 80 nucleotides in length. Their secondary structure includes four short double-helical elements and three loops (D, anti-codon, and T loops). Further hydrogen bonds mediate the characteristic L-shaped molecular structure. tRNAs have two regions of fundamental functional importance: the anti-codon, which is responsible for specific mRNA codon recognition, and the 3' end, to which the tRNAs corresponding amino acid is attached (by aminoacyl-tRNA synthetases). tRNAs cope with the degeneracy of the genetic code in two manners: having more than one tRNA (with a specific anti-codon) for a particular amino acid; and 'wobble' base-pairing, i.e. permitting non-standard base-pairing at the 3rd anti-codon position. Lineage: Bacteria; Pseudomonadati; Pseudomonadota; Gammaproteobacteria; Pseudomonadales; Pseudomonadaceae. The record is from RNAcentral.
GCAGCGGGAGUUCAGUCGGUUAGAAUACCGGCCUGUCACGCCGGGGGUAGCGGGUUCGAGGCCCGUCCGCUGCGCCA